GUCCUCUUGUCUACAUCUCCAGAGGGUAAACGCUGAAAGGGCAGGCAUUGUGGCCCUCACGAAAUAGUUAUGGAGAGGAAGGAAGAUGCUGAUUUACUUUGAAGCAUCCUCAACCAGGAUGGAAACAGUUCAAGUCCUGGUGUUUGCAUAUUGAUACGAUAUUAUAGAAUGAGAAGACGAUGGCCAGCAGGAACAAAUUAGUUCCAGCAACGCUAUUAGUAGGGAUGAUUCCAGAUGACUAAAUAUACCAAACAAGAGCUUCCAGGAACGCAAUGUUCCUAUCUACAGGAUACGGGACCUGUAGAGAGGGAUGAAAAGCUUAGGCUUUCUUAGCCUGAAGAAAACAAAGCAGACAAAUGCCAAGAGGACCCUAGAAGAGGGUGAGCCACACAGAAUGCAGGUCCAAAUCAAAAAAUCACUCCUCUUUCCAGGAGGAGAGUGA
Molecule: long non-coding RNA, 442 nt
Filed under: Vulpes vulpes (red fox)
Lineage: Eukaryota; Metazoa; Chordata; Mammalia; Carnivora; Canidae
Description: lncRNA (ENSVVUG00000000275.1)
Source: RNAcentral